RNAcentral lists this ribosomal RNA (253 nucleotides) under uncultured bacterium. RNAcentral's name for it is "partial 16S ribosomal RNA". It matches the Rfam family "Bacterial small subunit ribosomal RNA", at positions 524 to 776 of the family's 1533-position model. The record is from RNAcentral.
UACAGAGGUCCCAAGCGUUACUGAGAAUCACUGGGUUUAAAGGGUGCGUAGGUGGUCCGUUAAGUCAGUUGUGAAAUCCCCGGGCUCAACCCGGGAACUGCUUCUGAUACUGGCGGACUUGAGGCCAGUAGAGGUCACUGGAACUGACGGUGGAGCGGUGAAAUGCGUAGAUAUCGUCAGGAACGCCGGUGGUGAAGACGGGUGACUGGGCUGGUUCUGACACUGAGGCACGAAAGCGUGGGGAGCGAACAGG